AGCGAACGCUGGCGGCGUGCCUAACACAUGCAAGUCGAACGUGAAAUGGGGCAACCCAAAGUAAAGUGGCGUACGGGUGAGUAACACGUAGGUAAUCUACCAAAAAGUCUGGAAUAACCUGCCGAAAGGCGGGCUAAUACUGGAUAGAGCGACGGGAUCCGUAAUUGGGUCUUUCGGGAAAGGGAGCUCGCAAGAGCCUUCGCUUUUUGAUGAGCCUGCGUCUCAUUAGCUAGUUGGCGGGGUAACGGCCCACCAAGGCAGUGAUGAGUAGCUGGUCUGAGAGGAUGAUCAGCCACACUGGAACUGAAACACGGUCCAGACUCCUACGGGAGGCAGCAGUGGGGAAUCUUGCGCAAUGGACGAAAGUCUGACGCAGCCACGCCGCGUGAGUGAAGAAGGCCUUCGGGUUGUAAAGCUCUGUCGAGCGGGACGAACAUCUUUAGGGUUAACAGCCCUAGAGACUGACGGUACCGCUAAAGGAAGCACCGGCUAACUCUGUGCCAGCCGCCGCGGUAACAC
RNAcentral lists this ribosomal RNA (519 nucleotides) under uncultured bacterium. RNAcentral describes it as "bacterial SSU rRNA". It matches the Rfam family "Bacterial small subunit ribosomal RNA", at positions 29 to 526 of the family's 1533-position model. The record is from RNAcentral.